RNAcentral lists this ribosomal RNA (433 nucleotides) under uncultured bacterium. RNAcentral's name for it is "partial 16S ribosomal RNA". It matches the Rfam family "Bacterial small subunit ribosomal RNA", at positions 29 to 507 of the family's 1533-position model. The record is from RNAcentral.
AGCGAACGCUGGCGGCAGGCCUAACACAUGCAAGUCGAACGAACUCUUCGGAGUUAGUGGCGGACGGGUGAGUAACACGUGGGAACGUGCCUUUUGGUUAGGUAUAACUCAGGGAAACUUGUGCUAAUACCGAAUGUGCUCUUCGGGGGAAAGAUUUAUCGCCAUUUGAGCGGCCCGCGUCUGAUUAGCUAGUUGGUGAGGUAAUGGCUCAUCAAGGCGACGAUCAGUAGCUGGUCUGGGAGGAUGACCAGCCACACUGGGGCUGAGACACGGCCCAGACUCCUACGGGGGGCAGCAGUGGGGAAUCUUGCGCAAUGGGCGAAAGCCUGACGCAGCCAUGCCGCGUGAAAGAUGAAGGUCUUAGGAUUGUAAAAUUCUUUCACCGGAGACGAUAAUGACGGUACCCGGAGAAGAAGCCCCGGCUAACUACGUG